GAUGAACGCUGGCGGCGUGCCUAAUACAUGCAAGUCGAGCGAACAGACGAGGAGCUUGCUCCUCUGACGUUAGCGGCGGACGGGUGAGUAACACGUGGAUAACCUACCUAUAAGACUGGGAUAACUUCGGGAAACCGGAGCUAAUACCGGAUAAUAUAUUGAACCGCAUGGUUCAAUAGUGAAAGACGGUUUUGCUGUCACUUAUAGAUGGAUCCGCGCCGCAUUAGCUAGUUGGUAAGGUAACGGCUUACCAAGGCAACGAUGCGUAGCCGACCUGAGAGGGUGAUCGGCCACACUGGAACUGAGACACGGUCCAGACUCCUACGGGAGGCAGCAGUAGGGAAUCUGCCGCAAUGGGCGAAAGCCUGACGGAGCAACGCCGCGUGAGUGAUGAAGGUCUUCGGAUCGUAAAACUCCGUUAUUAGGGAAGAACAAAUGUGUAAGUAACUAUGCACGUCUUGACGGUACCUAAUCAGAAAGCCACGGCUAACUACGUG
This 497-nucleotide ribosomal RNA is filed under the name uncultured bacterium. RNAcentral describes it as "partial 16S ribosomal RNA". It matches the Rfam family "Bacterial small subunit ribosomal RNA", at positions 28 to 507 of the family's 1533-position model. The record is from RNAcentral.